GAUGAACGCUGGCGGCGUGCCUAAUACAUGCAAGUCGAGCGAACAGACGAGGAGCUUGCUCCUCUGACGUUAGCGGCGGACGGGUGAGUAACACGUGGAUAACCUACCUCUAAGACUGGGAUAACUUCGGGAAACCGGAGCUAAUACCGGAUAAUAUAUUGAACCGCAUGGUUCAAUAGUGAAAGACGGUUUUGCUGUCACUUAUAGAUGGAUCCGCGCCGCAUUAGCUAGUUGGUAAGGUAACGGCUUACCAAGGCAACGAUGCGUAGCCGACCUGAGAGGGUGAUCGGCCACACUGGAACUGAGACACGGUCCAGACUCCUACGGGAGGCAGCAGUAGGGAAUCUUCCGCAAAGGGCGAAAGCCUGACGGAGCAACGCCGCGUGAGUGAUGAAGGUCUUCGGAUCGUAAAACUCUGUUAUUAGGGAAGAACAAAUGUGUAAGUAACUAUGCACGUCUUGACGGUACCUAAUCAGAAAGCCACGGCUAACUACGUG
RNAcentral lists this ribosomal RNA (497 nucleotides) under uncultured bacterium. Its description in RNAcentral is "partial 16S ribosomal RNA". It matches the Rfam family "Bacterial small subunit ribosomal RNA", at positions 28 to 507 of the family's 1533-position model. The record is from RNAcentral.